UUGAUUUUUUAAUACUAUAUUUAGUUGGCAAUGGUGUGAUUAUGGUGAAUAUAGUGUUAUGGGACUGCAAGUUUCUGCUUUAAGUUUUAGUUUGCCCCAGGGGCGGUUCUAGACCCUUUUAAGUGGGGCUCCAGCCACCCUGCCGUUAUCUUAGCCCCCCUAAAAUUAGUCUUAAUAUUUCUACCAAACUAUCAAAUAUAUUUUUCUGAAGUUUUAUUUAUUUGUAAAAACAAUUUAUUCGAAGAUAAUUAUUAAAAAAAACGCAAAAUGCAGGACAUUUAGAAAAAGUAUUACGAGUUUAUGAGGCAUUUGAUUAGCUUUGCUGUUCUGCGCAUGCGUCGUAACCGUCAGUGGAGGAGCGCUCGAGCGCCUGUGCUUCAGGUCACACAGAGGGAGCAAUUGUUUCAUAAAAUAUCCAGCGUGGAAGCUCAGAAGAUGGAUAUAUAACGUUUUUCAAAUGCUGGAAAGGAGAGCAAACAGGUGGAGAAAGAGUUAGAGAGACUGAAGAGGUCAGAGACAGGUGCAUUUAUAGUCCAUCAUGACAUAAAAAAUCCUCUGCAUGCAACCACGAGGAGAGGGGGAAUUUACUAAGGAGUUUUGUCUAUAUAUUAUAUAAAAUCUACUGUUGGGAAGAGCAGAACCUAAUCCAAAUAAAAAUAAACAAGCUGUUAAAAGCCAGUUGAAGGUGGUCAACACAAACCAAAUGAAGAUGUUGCACAUUCCACAAACAAUAAAAAAGAAGUUUUGUGUCCAACACACUUGGAUGAGACGUGCCCGACCCCUGACUU
Misgurnus anguillicaudatus (oriental weatherfish) is the source of this 788-nucleotide non-coding RNA. Lineage: Eukaryota; Metazoa; Chordata; Actinopteri; Cypriniformes; Cobitidae. The record is from RefSeq and is a predicted model, not a curated record.